GCUCUUUGAAUCCACUUUUGAGAUCUAGUUGCAUUUCAUUUUAGCGAUCUUUCUAUUUUUACUGUGCGUUUGGAUUUUUCUUUUUUUAUUUCUUGGGAUUUGCAUUUUGGAUGCAAAUCAUAUGCCAAUACAAUACGUUGAGAGACUUUAAAGAUAGUUGUUGCCUGAAUUUAAGCAGCACGCCAUUUGUAGGUGGUUGUUGAACAUCUUCUGUUGGAAUUGAAAAUUAAGGCGAUGUAGGUUUGUCUAUUAUGAGCUGAAUUGCUUUCUAUGUAUGCCUAUCUUUAUGGCAACAGCUUAGAAACUGAAAUUUCAGGUUGAUCCUUUCCCAUUUCUGGUUAGGAAGGAACUAAAGCUCAGCGACAUUAAUUCCUAGGUUAUGCAUACCAGCAAUAAAACUCAGAUGCACCAAAUUUAUUGUGUGCAUCAAUUAGUCUUGUUACUUUAGUUCCCUCUAGUUCUUAAGCUGGUAGCAAUUUGAGUAAAUCACACAGAGCAUACGUGGAGUUUCUAGUAUGGUUGUCACAAAAAAAGGUGAAAAUCUUGCCUUUGGGGUUACCUUUUUUCAACUUAUGUUAGCCACUAUUGAUGCUAUAGAAACCUUUAGAACCUAUGCUGCAGGUUUGUUAAAUUGUUAUAAAACUUAAUUAUUUAUAGGGUUUGAUGACUUUGGGUUUUAUUUAUUUUUAGAAUUUAUUGUUUGUUGUUCUUUUUCCUUCCUGAUGUUUUGUGUAUUUUUCCGUUGUCACAUAAUUUUGUCGUGCUGCUAUACAUGUAUUAUUUGUUAUCUGUACUUUCCGUCUGUUACAUCUUCACAGCAUACAGUAAAUUACACACACAUGUAGAGAUGCACUGACCAAACCAUGUAGAAGAUUCAUGUUUCCAAUAACAGUUACUAGGUUGGAUAUGAUUUUAGGGCAAAUUAGAGUUCCGUUGAUGGAAGUUCAUUGCUUGUGUUUCUUUAGAUGGAGUUGACAAUACGAAGUAAAAUGCUAUUUCAAUGUUUUAACUGGAUUAUUGCAAAUGUAAACUUUCUGUUUUUCUUCUCUUUUCUUUUUCUCCUAUGGGAAUUGGAUAAAUAUAGGUAGCUAGCUACACAGAAUAAAAGGUUUGCGUUUCUCGGAUUAUGAGUUAGGCAACCUCGAAAUAGAAGGGUUGUUUAAUCAUUUGCAUCCAGAAAUUUCCAUCCUAAUAAUGGUGUAUAGAAGUUCUAAUUAUAUGUUUAAUUAGAAACCCUGUGAAAACAUAAUAAACGUGGAUAGUGGAUAUGCCCUAUAUGUUUCGUUUUUGUAACUUUAAGGUUUAGGACUGCAGUUUAUAUUUGCUUCUGGUUUCUUGAAUCUCUCUCGCCUUCAGAAUUGGAUUUUUUUGGCCCAUAAAUCUACUUACAGGAGACCAAGUUGUCACCAGGCAUAAAAAGACGAAUAACGAACCAUACUAAUCAAUGUUCUGCAGUGAUCGAUCACCCCCCAAAAAAAUAAAAAAUAAAAAUAAAAAAGGAAGGAAUGGGCCAAGGGGAAUUGAAAGUGAGGACACGCGGCCAAGUCCAGGGUCGAGGCAAUUAAGCAAACCAGUCCAGUCCACUAACUCUAUAAAUUCUAAAUUAUAAUACAAAAGGAAACGACAUCGUAUGAAGAAGAAAACCUUCUUAUCUUAAAAGGCGCCUGAUCUCGCAAAUGAUAAAACCUUAACCCUCGGGCCCUCAGAGUCCCAAACGCGAGUGAGAGCAGAUCUGAGAAAAUGAGAGAUGUGAAACACAGAGAAGGUCUGGAAACCCUAACAAUGGCAUUGUCUCUGUGAUCGGAGCCUUCGCUGUAGAUCAGAGACAUGAGCGUGAAGAAAGAGAGAGACGACGAGGCAUGAAGAAAAGCUCCUCCAAUGCGAUUCUUGUUUUGCGAGAUUUAACGCCUCGAUGACCGCCAUUGAUCCACGAUCGGAUCCGUUCAAGAGCUCACCGUUGAAAUCGCGUAGUAAUUAACACCAAGACCAGAGAUCUGAUGGGGCUAGGUACUCCCUGUCUGCUUGCUCAAGAUGCGAUAGGGUGCGAUGUGGACUGAUAGAGGCACUGACAGCGGGCCUUCCAUAUCUUUAAGGUUUUACUCCUUACUCAUUCAAGCAUGUGGAUGUAUGUUUUUCUUUUGUAAAAUUUCAUUUUUUGUUUUUAAAUGGAAACAAAAUGAACAAAAAUAAGUUUCCAGAGGCAAAUAGCAUAGUAUUGUUGAAAACUUGAACGAUAUAUCUGACAAAAACAAAAUUGACACACAUUAUGGGAGC
Prunus dulcis (almond) is the source of this 2274-nucleotide long non-coding RNA. RefSeq lists it as uncharacterized. The record is from RefSeq and is a predicted model, not a curated record. The transcript has 2 exons. Lineage: Eukaryota; Viridiplantae; Streptophyta; Magnoliopsida; Rosales; Rosaceae.